RNAcentral lists this ribosomal RNA (308 nucleotides) under Rossellomorea marisflavi. RNAcentral's name for it is "bacterial SSU rRNA". It matches the Rfam family "Bacterial small subunit ribosomal RNA", at positions 1054 to 1363 of the family's 1533-position model. The record is from RNAcentral. Lineage: Bacteria; Bacillati; Bacillota; Bacilli; Caryophanales; Bacillaceae.
GUCAGCUCGUGUCGUGAGAUGUUGGGUUAAGUCCCGCAACGAGCGCAACCCUUGAUCUUAGUUGCCAGCAUUCAGUUGGGCACUCUAAGGUGACUGCCGGUGACAAACCGGAGGAAGGUGGGGAUGACGUCAAAUCAUCAUGCCCCUUAUGACCUGGGCUACACACGUGCUACAAUGGAUAGUACAAAGGGUUGCAAGACCGCGAGGUGGAGCUAAUCCCAUAAAACUAUUCUCAGUUCGGAUUGUAGGCUGCAACUCGCCUACAUGAAGCCGGAAUCACUAGUAAUCGCGGAUCAGCAUGCCGCGGU